AAUCCAUAGGUUAAUGAGGCGAACCGGGGGAACUGAAACAUCUAAGUACCCCGAGGAAAAGAAAUCAACCGAGAUUCCCCCAGUAGCGGCGAGCGAACGGGGAGGAGCCCAGAGCCUGAAUCAGCAUGUGUGUUAGUGGAAGCGUCUGGAAAGGCGCGCGAUACAGGGUGACAGCCCCGUACACAAAAGCGCAUGUGCUGUGAGCUCGAUGAGUAGGGCGGGACACGUGGUAUCCUGUCUGAAUAUGGGGGGACCAUCCUCCAAGGCUAAAUACUCCUGACUGACCGAUAGUGAACCAGUACCGUGAGGGAAAGGCGAAAAGAACCCCGGCGAGGGGAGUGAAAAAGAACCUGAAACCGUGUACGUACAAGCAGUGGGAGCACCCUUUGGGUGUGACUGCGUACCUUUUGUAUAAUGGGUCAGCGACUUAUAUUCUGUAGCAAGGUUAACCGAAUAGGGGAGCCGGAGGGAAACCGAGUCUUAACCGGGCGUUAAGUUGCAGGGUAUAGACCCGAAACCCGGUGAUCUAGCCAUGGGCAGGUUGAAGGUUGGGUAACACUAACUGGAGGACCGAACCGACUAAUGUUGAAAAAUUAGCGGAUGACCUGUGGCUGGGGGUGAAAGGCCAAUCAAACCGGGA
Molecule: ribosomal RNA, 640 nt
Filed under: Salmonella enterica
Lineage: Bacteria; Pseudomonadati; Pseudomonadota; Gammaproteobacteria; Enterobacterales; Enterobacteriaceae
Description: partial 23S ribosomal RNA
Rfam family: Bacterial large subunit ribosomal RNA
Source: RNAcentral